This 458-nucleotide small RNA is filed under the name Pan troglodytes (chimpanzee). RNAcentral describes it as "processed transcript". The record is from RNAcentral. Lineage: Eukaryota; Metazoa; Chordata; Mammalia; Primates; Hominidae.
GGUGGUCAUCCUGGUCACGGACGUCUCUGUGGAUUCAGUGGAUGCAGCAGCUGAUGCCGCCAGGUCCAACAGAGUGACAGUGUUCCCUAUUGGAAUUGGAGAUCGCUACGAUGCAGCCCAGCUACGGAUCUUGGCCGGCCCAGCAGGCGACUCCAACGUGGUGAAGCUCCAGCGAAUUGAAGACCUCCCUACCAUGGUCACCUUGGGCAAUUCCUUCCUCCACAAACUGUGCUCUGGAUUUGUUAGGAUUUGCAUGGACGAGGAUGGGAAUGAGAAGAGGCCUGGGGACGUCUGGACCUUGCCAGACCAGUGCCACACCGUGACUUGCCAGCCAGAUGGCCAGACCUUGCUGAAGAGUCAUCGGGUCAACUGUGACCGGGGGCUGAGGCCUUCAUGCCCUAACAGCCAGUCCCCUGUUAAAGUGGAAGAGACCUGUGGCUGCCGCUGGACCUGCCCCU